Long non-coding RNA from Eriocheir sinensis (Chinese mitten crab), 1286 nucleotides. RefSeq lists it as uncharacterized. The record is from RefSeq and is a predicted model, not a curated record. NCBI's taxonomy places the organism in Eukaryota, Metazoa, Arthropoda, Malacostraca, Decapoda, Varunidae. The transcript is spliced from 5 exons.
UCUCCCCAGCCAGGCCUUUGUAUCGGCAGCUCCUGCGAAAAGAAAACAAAACAGGAUGAAAAGAUGAUAGUUCCUGCUGCCCACAGAUCCCUUGUUGGAGUUCAAAUGACAUCCUUGUGUACAUCAGUUUAUUGCCUUUUGUUGAAAGUAAUUUCUUGGCUUCAAGUCCUUGAAAGUCACGUACACUUGAACAGAGACGUCUUCUAUUUAUAUCUCUUGUUGAGGUGGAAGUGUGGCACCAACGCACGUGCACCGCCGCACCGAUGUAAACACACCCACCUCUGGGUUGGCCUGCCCAGCCCAGCACCAGUGUUUUGAAAAAAAAUUGAAGGCCGUGGUUCCCCCAUGUCCUAACCAGCCCCCAAAAACACUGAAGAAGAAGCAGUGCACAUCUUCAUAUUGCCCAGCUAUACACGUUCAGACACCAAUACCCCUCCAGAUUAUAUCAGAAUGUGUCCUAUGGGGCAGGAUGAAGCCCUGGUCCACAUAGUGGGGCAGUACCCCUGGCUCUAUGACAAGAGCAAUGAGAAUUACAAAGAUCAGGCCAUGAAACGCAAUUCAUGGCGUGAAGUAGCCACGAGAGUAAACAUGAAUGAGGAGCAGUGCAGGAAACGCUGGCAGUGCCUUCGAGACCGCUAUGUGCGUACGAGGAGGGUUAAUGAGAGGCCACUCCCCAGUGGGUCCGGGGCAGAAGCUGUGCCCAAAAAGAAAUGGGAAUUGUACCCAUUAUUGGAUUCCCUGCUGCACCGCGUUGUAGAUCAUUGCUCCAGCCAUCAUCAACACUGCGAAUCCCGCACGGAGCCCACGCAGCAUGCGCCUUGUUGCUGUCACAGUUCAACACUCACAGGGGGUAACAGUUUCCAACUGGGGGCAGCGAGGUCACAACACAUAGAAACUUCAUCAUCUUCACCAUCACCCAUCAGCACACCAUCCUCAACACCGGACCUCCUAGAUCCCACAGAGAUAUUAAUGAUCGAAGAAGAUAGUGGGUCAGGACCGACUGCCCUGUCAUCUGCGGUGUCCGGUGCCGGGGAGAAACAAACGCAUAAAGUAUUGUCAGCACGCAAGAAGAUGCAUUUGGAGCCCCAGCCCUGGCAAGUGGACCUUGUGAAGGCACUCUCUGUGAACAAACAGGAGGUGCCCGGACCAGCACAAGCCGCUGGACAAUACCUAACAAGUGCCCUGCUCAGCAUCCAAGACCCCACUGAAAUGGCACAAGCUGUGACAGAAAUAAUUGCAUUUAUAAAUGAAAAGGUUUAUAAAACAAAAGCGAAAGUGUAAAUGGA